This 403-nucleotide ribosomal RNA is filed under the name uncultured bacterium. RNAcentral's name for it is "bacterial SSU rRNA". It matches the Rfam family "Bacterial small subunit ribosomal RNA", at positions 355 to 775 of the family's 1533-position model. The record is from RNAcentral.
UCGGGAAUUUUGCGCAAUGGACGAAAGUCUGACGCAGCAACGCCGCGUGAGGGAUGAAGGCCUUCGGGUUGUAAACCUCUUUUCUCAGGGACGAUAAUGACGGUACCUGAGGAAUAAGUCACGGCUAACUACGUGCCAGCAGCCGCGGUAAUACGUAGGUGGCUAGCGUUGUCCGGAUUUACUGGGCGUAAAGAGCGCGCAGGCGGUCGUUCAAGUCGAGUGUGAAAGCCCCCGGCUCAACUGGGGAGGGUCACUCGAUACUGAUCGACUCGAAGGCAGAAGAGGGAAGCGGAAUUCCCGGUGUAGUGGUGAAAUGCGUAGAUAUCGGGAGGAACACCAGUGGCGAAGGCGGCUUUCUGGGCUGCUCUUGACGCUGAGGCGCGAAAGCUAGGGUAGCAAACGG